This 492-nucleotide ribosomal RNA is filed under the name uncultured bacterium. Its description in RNAcentral is "partial 16S ribosomal RNA". It matches the Rfam family "Bacterial small subunit ribosomal RNA", at positions 29 to 507 of the family's 1533-position model. The record is from RNAcentral.
AGUGAACGCUGGCGGUAGGCCUAAUACAUGCAAGUCGAACGGCAGCACAGUAAGAUUUCGCCCCUACGGGUGGCGAGUGGCGGACGGGUGAGGAAUACAUCGGAAUCUACUUUUUCGGGGGGGACAACGGAGGGAAACAGACGAUAAUAGCGCAUAUGACCUACGGGUGAAAGCAGGGGUUCUUCGCACUUUUCCUGAUUGAAUGAGCCGGCGCCGGAUUAGCUAGUUGGCAAGGUAAAGGCACACCAAGGCGACGAUCCGUAGCUGGUCUGAGAGGAUGAUCAGCCACACUGGAACUGAGACACGGUCCAGACUCCUACGGGAGGCAGCAGUAGGGAAUAUUGGGCAAUGGGCGCAAGCCUGAUCCAGCCAUGCCGCGUGAGUGAUGAAGGCCUUCGGAUCGUAAAGCUCUUUUAUUGGGGAAGAAAAACUGCAGAAUUAACCCCGGCUGUUCUGACGGUACCCAAAGAGAAAGCCCCGGCUAACUUCGUG